UAGGAUUGGGAAGCUGAGGCUUAAAGAGGGAUCACUUGCCCAGGCUUUUACAGCAGGAGCAGAUGUGAUCCCAGCCACAGCUUUCAGGCCCCUGGGCUCCUCACACCUUACCAUAUACCCCGCAGGCUGCUGCCAGGGCUGCUGCCCCGCUCCCUCCUCCUCCUUCCCCUGGAGUCAGUGGUGGGAAGCUUCCCAGGAGAGUCCUCAGCAACCUUUGGAACACAGGACUUGGCCAUGACUGUCUCCUGUCGCUAUGUGGGCCCAGAUGGUUGAGGUACAUCUAGGGGUUCUCAUCCCAGCUAGGCUCAGGUUGGGGCAGUCUGAAACAGGAUGGGUCCCCUUCUAGAAGUCCCUUUCAGCUAACAGUCUGGAACUUGCAGUUGACCCAGAUAGAUUCAGGAGUGUAGGCUAGACUUGGCUUCCAGCCUGGGCCCUGUCUGGCGUUCUGGGCUUCAGUUUCUUCAUCUGUACAGUGGCCUCAGGAGGAUGGGAGGCCCCACCUGGUAACAACCCUGUGCCACCCCAGCUUGAGCAGGAGGUGGAGCGGCGGCGGCGGCUGGGGCAGGAGUCAGCAGCUAGGAAAGCCCUCAUCGCGAGUUCCUACCACCCGGCACGGCCUGAGGUCUACGACUCACUGCAGGAUGCAGCUCUGGCUCCCGAGUUCCUGGCCGUGACUGAGUACAGCGUGUCCCCAGGCGCAGACCUCAAGGGCCUUCUCCAGCGGCUGGAGACAGUAUCGGGGCCCAGCAAGAAAGAACAGCCCCUUCUGGCCUUCCUGCUGGGGGACAGAGGCUCCCAGAGCCACUUCUGAGUUGGGGUACAGACUUCGGUGGCUCAUCAGAUGAAAGGAGAGGAGAAGCGCAUCUACCGGGUGCCUGUGUUCACAGCGCCCUUCUGCCAGGCCCUGCUGGAAGAGCUGGAGCACUUCGAGCAGUCGGACAUGCCUAAGGGGAGGCCCAACACCAUGAACAACUACGGGGUGCUGCUGCACGAGCUCGGGCUGGACGAGCCGCUGAUGACACCACUGCGGGAGCGCUUCCUGCAGCCGCUGAUGGCCCUGCUGUACCCUGACUGUGGCGGGGGCCGGCUCGACAGCCACCGGGCCUUUGUGGUCAAAUACGCGCCGGGCCAGGACCUGGAGCUGGGCUGCCACUAUGAUAAUGCUGAGCUUACCCUCAAUGUGGCCUUGGGCAAGGUCUUCACGGGGG
Molecule: small RNA, 1208 nt
Filed under: Pan troglodytes (chimpanzee)
Lineage: Eukaryota; Metazoa; Chordata; Mammalia; Primates; Hominidae
Description: retained intron
Source: RNAcentral